CAGCCGCCGCGGGAAUACGAGGGGGGCAAGCGUUGCUCGGAUUUAUUGGGCGUAAAGGGUGCGUAGGCGGUUUGGCAAGUCUUGUGUGAAAUCUUCGGGCUCAACCCGAAGCCUGCACGAGAAACUACCGGGCUUGAGUAUUGGAGAGGUGAGUGGAAUUUCCGGUGUAGCGGUGAAAUGCGUAGAUAUCGGAAGGAACACCUGUGGCGAAAGCGGCUCACUGGACAAUAACUGACGCUGAUGCACGAAAGCUAGGGGAGCAAACAGGAUUAGAUACCCGCGUAGUCCCUGUCUCUUAUAC
Molecule: ribosomal RNA, 301 nt
Filed under: uncultured bacterium
Lineage: Bacteria
Description: partial 16S ribosomal RNA
Rfam family: Bacterial small subunit ribosomal RNA
Source: RNAcentral